Molecule: ribosomal RNA, 523 nt
Filed under: uncultured bacterium
Lineage: Bacteria
Description: bacterial SSU rRNA
Rfam family: Bacterial small subunit ribosomal RNA
Source: RNAcentral
UUCGGGACAACUCUGGGAAACUGGAGCUAAUACCGGAUACGCCCUUUUGGGGAAAGGUUUACUGCCGAAGGAUCGGCCCGCGUCUGAUUAGCUAGUUGGUGGGGUAACGGCCUACCAAGGCGACGAUCAGUAGCUGGUCUGAGAGGAUGAUCAGCCACACUGGGACUGAGACACGGCCCAGACUCCUACGGGAGGCAGCAGUGGGGAAUAUUGGACAAUGGGCGCAAGCCUGAUCCAGCCAUGCCGCGUGAGUGAUGAAGGCCUUAGGGUUGUAAAGCUCUUUUAUCCGGGACGAUAAUGACGGUACCGGAGGAAUAAGCCCCGGCUAACUUCGUGCCAGCAGCCGCGGUAAUACGAAGGGGGCUAGCGUUGCUCGGAAUCACUGGGCGUAAAGGGCGCGUAGGCGGCGUUUUAAGUCGGGGGUGAAAGCCUGUGGCUCAACCACAGAAUGGCCUUCGAUACUGGGACGCUUGAGUCUGGUAGAGGUUGGUGGAACUGCGAGUGUAGAGGUGAAAUUCGUAGA